AUCCUUCACUUCUUGAGGGAUCAAGGACCAGAUCUUGUCGACGUUGACAAUCGGGCAAUAGAACUUGUUGCGAAGCUUGUGGAAGUAACGCAUACCGACUUUACCGAAAUAACCAGGGUGAUACUUAUCGAAGAGAAUCCGGUGGUGGUGCAUACCUCCGGCGUUUCCCCGACCACCAGGAUGCUUUCGGUGUUUGCCGAUUCUACCAUGGCCGGCGCUAACGUGUCCUCUCUUCUUCCUGUUCUUCUUG
RNAcentral lists this unclassified non-coding RNA (250 nucleotides) under Hevea brasiliensis (rubber tree). Lineage: Eukaryota; Viridiplantae; Streptophyta; Magnoliopsida; Malpighiales; Euphorbiaceae. The record is from RNAcentral.